Molecule: ribosomal RNA, 497 nt
Filed under: uncultured bacterium
Lineage: Bacteria
Description: partial 16S ribosomal RNA
Rfam family: Bacterial small subunit ribosomal RNA
Source: RNAcentral
GAUGAACGCUGGCGGCGUGCCUAAUACAUGCCAGUCGAGCGAACGGACGAGAAGCUUGCUUCUCUGAUGUUAGCGGCGGACGGGUGAGUAACACGUGGAUAACCUACCUAUAAGACUGGGAUAACUUCGGGAAACCGGAGCUAAUACCGGAUAAUAUUUUGAACCGCAUGGUUCAAAAGUGAAAGACGGUCUUGCUGUCACUUAUAGAUGGAUCCGCGCUGCAUUAGCUAGUUGGUAAGGUAACGGCUUACCAAGGCAACGAUGCAUAGCCGACCUGAGAGGGUGAUCGGCCACACUGGAACUGAGACACGGUCCAGACUCCUACGGGAGGCAGCAGUAGGGAAUCUUCCGCAAUGGACGAAAGCCUGACGGAGCAACGCCGCGUGAGUGAUGAAGGUCUUCGGAUCGUAAAACUCUGUUAUUAGGGAAGAACAUAUGUGUAAGUAACUGUGCACAUCUUGACGGUACCUAAUCAGAAAGCCACGGCUAACUACGUG